ACUAGAGUCCCUUCAAGCUUCAUCUAUUUCUGAAGAAGCUGCAGAUCUGAAAGGGAGUGCGGUUGAGUCCAGGGAAAGCGCCAACGAGGCCAUUCUCAACAUUGCAAACAUUGAAGACCAGUUACCUCAAGCAGCUGAGGAGGCGCGUGCAUUAAGAAAAAUAUUGCAGAAGGACAGAAAGCUAUCCAGCUCGCGUACAAACAGGUUGAAGAAGUGGAGCAAGUUGUCCCAGAAAUGGUGGAGCUUGCCAGCACCUUCGUACCAGGAAAGACGCCAUCCAGGCCAAAGGGAUUGACGUUGGCGAUCGCCUGGAGAAGCUGAGAGACACCAUCAAGAAGACUCGCGAACUUGCUAACAAGAUUAAAGUAGGAGUUUCAUUCCUGCCCAAUACAACACUGGAACUGCAAAAUCCUGAAGACCUGUCUAAGGCUGCUACAGCUACAAAGGUAUCAUUUUAUGUACAAAACCACUGAGCCCACAGGCCUCCUUGUGUUCAUGGGGACGCCAGUUGGAGGUAGCCAAAGAAUGAGGCGCUCGCUCAGUGACGACUUUAUGGCUCUGGAGCUUGAUCAGGGAUUCCUUCACCUCACGAUGGACCUUGGAGCUGGAGCUCACACCAUCGAAUACAAUGAUCU
Long non-coding RNA from Macrobrachium nipponense, 635 nucleotides. RefSeq lists it as uncharacterized. NCBI's taxonomy places the organism in Eukaryota, Metazoa, Arthropoda, Malacostraca, Decapoda, Palaemonidae. The transcript has 3 exons. The record is from RefSeq and is a predicted model, not a curated record.